RNAcentral lists this long non-coding RNA (1167 nucleotides) under Mus musculus (house mouse). RNAcentral's name for it is "predicted gene, 48708". Lineage: Eukaryota; Metazoa; Chordata; Mammalia; Rodentia; Muridae. The record is from RNAcentral.
GGCUUAAGGCAGACAAGAACUUUCGAAAGGAUACAAUCUAUGAUCCGCUGCUCACUACGGCAAUCCAAGCAGAUACAUACACAACAUAUACACAUACUUACUCAUCUGUACAAGACAUACAAGAAGGCUGGUCACCCGCAGGGGAUGAGCAAUGGGUGGACAAAGUGCAGACCUUGUCAGAAUGACAGGAGGAAAGGGUGGGAGCAGGGGGCACUGAAUUUGGUAUGCCUUUUUAUAUGGUUCCACCACUUAGUCAAAAUAUUUCAUUCCAGUCAACUGUGGGAAGCCCUACAAUUUAAAUACAAGGAAUAGGGAGUGUGCCCAAUUGUACAAAUGAGUACAAUCACCACACUGAAGGGAGCAGAAGAGGAAUAAACUGGAAAACAUUAUCCUCACUCAGUAAAGCUAAAGACAAAAUUUCAUAUAAAAAAAUCUAUUCUCAGAAGAAUUCAACAGUUAGCAAGCUCACUCUGUGAGAGAGCAAGUAUUUUCAGCCUUACAGACCAUCCACUCUCUGAAAGAACUUGAUCAAUGUACUAAAAGCAACCGCAGACAAACACAAACAGAUGGGCGGGCUCUAUUCCAAAAAACUGUCUACAACACUAGGAAGCAGAGUGGAUUUGGUCCAUGGGCUAUCAUUCAUUAAAACUUGAUCUAGUUAAUAAGGUUGUUCCUCAUAUAAGAAUGUGAGCUGACAAACUCGAACAAGAACUGGGCGGCGAAUGAGAAAACGCAGUAUGGCUAACAAGAGCCCGGAGUCUCACUGACAGGAAGACAUCCAACCAAGUUAGGCAAAGUUAGAAUGAACACUGUUGGGCUAGGCUGUGGAGUACUUAUGGGAAGGACCCAAUCAAGAUGUCUACAUGCAUGUGCUACCGGCUACACACACGUGACCUAGGAGCCCAAUUCUAGCAAAACAGAUGGCUUGGCACUGGUGUCCUGAGAAGCAGGUAGCAAGCUUAAGGAUAUACACAGAGCACAACAGCACUUCAAAAUCCAAUGUUUAAAACAGUAGAGGGAGUAACCGAACCUUGAGAGAAGUAAGUCAUGGGGUGGAGAUGGGAGAAACAACUUUCUAAAGUUUUCACUUUCUCCAACAUGGUAAAUCAGACAUCCUUCCUAGAACAAUAAAUACACCCACAGUUGAAUAAAAUGCCUUCUAAAGUC